Molecule: ribosomal RNA, 412 nt
Filed under: Panagrolaimus sp. DL0128
Lineage: Eukaryota; Metazoa; Nematoda; Chromadorea; Rhabditida; Panagrolaimidae
Also listed under: 1 other name
Description: SSU rRNA
Rfam family: Eukaryotic small subunit ribosomal RNA
Source: RNAcentral
GGUAAUUCUGGAGCUAAUACAUGCAUAAAAGAUAUAACAUUUUAUGUUAUAUUGCGUAUAUUAGUAUUAAAACCAAGCAUUCUUCGGAAUGUUUUGUGUUGAAACUGAAUAUAUCAUGCUAAUCGUAUGGUCUUGUACCGACGAUAUGUCAUUCAAGUGUCUGAUCUAUCAACUUUCUAUAUAAGUAUAUAGUACUUAUAUGGUUUUGACGGAUAACGGGGUAUUAGGGUACGACUCCGGAGAAAAUGCCUGAGAAACGGCGUUUACAUCCAAGGAAGGCAGCAGGCGCGAAAAUUACCCACUCUCAGUACGAGGAGGUAGUGACGAGAAAUGACAAGAUCUAUUCCUUCGGGGAUGGAUCAUUGGAAUGGUUUGAUUUUAAAAUCAUUAAAGAGUAUCAAUGAGAGGGCAA